RNAcentral lists this transfer RNA (50 nucleotides) under Ixodes scapularis (black-legged tick). It matches the Rfam family "tRNA", at positions 22 to 71 of the family's 71-position model. Rfam says of the family: Transfer RNA (tRNA) molecules are approximately 80 nucleotides in length. Their secondary structure includes four short double-helical elements and three loops (D, anti-codon, and T loops). Lineage: Eukaryota; Metazoa; Arthropoda; Arachnida; Ixodida; Ixodidae. The record is from Rfam by way of RNAcentral.
AGCGUCGUGCUAAUAACGCGAAGUCACAGGUUCGAUCCCUGUGUAGGCCA